CCGCCGCCGCCGCUGCCGCUGCCGCUGCCGCACCUCCGUAGCUGACUCGCAAGCUGCUAGCUCUCUGCAGUGAUGUCUGCUUCGCCCACCAGCCCUGGCUCACUCAGGGGGUCCUGUGGUCAUCAGGUCACAUUGAGUCACCACAGACAGCUUUCCUAACGCUGUGUUCUGAUGCCCUGGAGAAACUGUCAGCUAAGCGCAGUGGCUCACGCCUGUAAUCCCAGCACUUCUGGAGGCCACGAUGGGCGGAACAUGAGGUCAGGAGAUCGAGACCAGCCUGGCCAACACAGUGAAACCUCGUCUUUACUAAAAUACAAAAAGGUAGCUGGGCAUGGUGAUGCACGCCUGUAAUCCCAGCUACUCGGGAGGCUGAGGCAGGGGAAUCGCUUGAACCCAGGAGUUGGAGGUUGCAGUGAGCUGAGAUCACACCACUGCACUCCAGCCUGGUUGACAGAGCAAGACUCCGUCUCAAAAAAGAAAAGAAAAGAGAAGAGAAGAG
This 499-nucleotide long non-coding RNA is filed under the name Homo sapiens (human). RNAcentral's name for it is "HSALNT0177430". Lineage: Eukaryota; Metazoa; Chordata; Mammalia; Primates; Hominidae. The record is from RNAcentral.